RNAcentral lists this ribosomal RNA (805 nucleotides) under Exserohilum ananas. RNAcentral's name for it is "Exserohilum sp. DB-2023a partial large subunit ribosomal RNA". It matches the Rfam family "Eukaryotic large subunit ribosomal RNA", at positions 124 to 947 of the family's 3401-position model. The record is from RNAcentral. Lineage: Eukaryota; Fungi; Ascomycota; Dothideomycetes; Pleosporales; Pleosporaceae.
GGCUCUUUUAGAGUCCGAGUUGUAAUUUGCAGAGGGCGCUUUGGCUUUGGCAGCGGUCCAAGUUCCUUGGAACAGGACGUCACAGAGGGUGAGAAUCCCGUACGUGGUCGCUAGCUAUUGCCGUGUAAAGCCCCUUCGACGAGUCGAGUUGUUUGGGAAUGCAGCUCUAAAUGGGAGGUAAAUUUCUUCUAAAGCUAAAUAUUGGCCAGAGACCGAUAGCGCACAAGUAGAGUGAUCGAAAGAUGAAAAGCACUUUGGAAAGAGAGUCAAACAGCACGUGAAAUUGUUGAAAGGGAAGCGCUUGCAGCCAGACUUGCUUGCAGUUGCUCAUCCGGGCUUUUGCCCGGUGCACUCUUCUGCAGGCAGGCCAGCAUCAGUUUGGGCGGUGGGAUAAAGGUCUCUGUCAUGUACCUCUCUUCGGGGAGGCCUUAUAGGGGAGGCGACAUACCACCAGCCUAGACUGAGGUCCGCGCAUCUGCUAGGAUGCUGGCGUAAUGGCUGUAAGCGGCCCGUCUUGAAACACGGACCAAGGAGUCUAACAUCUAUGCGAGUGUUUGGGUGUCAAGCCCGAGCGCGUAAUGAAAGUGAACGGAGGUGGGAACCCGCAAGGGUGCACCAUCGACCGAUCCUGAAGUUUACGGAAGGAUUUGAGUAAGAGCAUGGCUGUUGGGACCCGAAAGAUGGUGAACUAUGCUUGAAUAGGGUGAAGCCAGAGGAAACUCUGGUGGAGGCUCGCAGCGGUUCUGACGUGCAAAUCGAUCGUCAAAUUUGGGCAUAGGGGCGAAAGACUAAUCGAACUAUCUAG